GACGGAAGGUGCAAGCGUUGCUCGGAAUCACUGGGCGUAAAGGGUGCGUAGGCGGCCGUGCAAGUCUGGCGUGAAAGCCCCGGGCUCAGCCCGGGAAGUGCGCUCGAAACUGCGCGGCUCGAGUGCCGGAGGGGAGAGUGGGAUUCCUGGUGUAGCGGUGAAAUGCGUAGAUAUCAGGAGGAAUACCGGUGGCGAAAGCGACUCUCUGGACGGCAACUGACGCUGAGGCACGAAAGCGUGGGGAGCAAACAGG
RNAcentral lists this ribosomal RNA (253 nucleotides) under uncultured bacterium. RNAcentral's name for it is "partial 16S ribosomal RNA". It matches the Rfam family "Bacterial small subunit ribosomal RNA", at positions 524 to 776 of the family's 1533-position model. The record is from RNAcentral.